GUGAAAUCAAAAUCUGAGCCAAUAUCAAGAGACGCUUAACUGAUGGAGCCACCCAGGUGCCCCCAGAAAUGUUCUUGAGGAGCAGAAAAGCCAAGAUUAUAGGAUAUCAAGAUGGGAUUGUGGCUGAGCUGGAAGAGAAAAGAACAUCACCAAUAGACAAAAACUGAGAGUAAUAGGGCUUUAGUUGUUAAGCCCCUCUUUUGGGCAGAGGAAGCAUCCAAAUCCAAGAGCCCUAUGAACCUGGUGGUAAAGCAGAUCUGCUCUGCUUCUUUUUGCCCAAAGUACUACCAACAUGCAGUGGGAACCCUUCAGGCUGGCGUCUGAGUCCUUUUGGCAGAUCUCCAUCUUUAUUUGAGCAUUUCCCUUCCAACGCAAAGAGAUAUUCCAGACUCACCUCAUACUUUCCCUCCUCAGGAUUGGAACCAGCUAAUUACUCAAGGAAUCAAGAUCUGAGUGCAAAGAAACAGGGACCAAAGAAACAUGUUAAAUGACACCAUGCAGAUUGGAUGCAACUAACCAGGUUUAGAAUGUGGAAAAGAUGACAAGGCAAAGACCAGUUUCUUCAAUAAACCAAUUGCAAAGAAAACAGAAAGUGGAGGCAAUAUAGAUUAACAGAGAUUUAAGAGACAUACCAAAACAAUUCUUUGCUAUUUCUUCCAUUGAGGGUUGGAUUCUAAUUUCCCUCCCCUUGAAUUUGAUCUGGCCUUAGUGACUUGCUCGAUCAACAGGAUGUAGUGAAAAUGACAUUCUGGGAAUUCUGGGGCUAGUUUGUAAGAAGCCUGGGAGGUGCCACAUGAGGCCACUUGCAGCACUGUCUCUGGGAUACCUGAGCCUAAGAAGUCUGAGUACUCUUAGACCAGUAUGUUGGAGAGGCCAGCAUUGUAGGCACAGGUGCAGUCAUGUGAAUGAUGCCAUCUUGGAUCCUCCACACCAGCUAUAGUCGAUGUGGAGUGGACCAGAAGGAUGACUCAGCCAAGCAUUGCUCAAUUAGUAAUCCAUAAUACUGUGAGAUAUAAUAAAAUGUUUGUUUUUAGCUACUCAGUUUUGGAGUAGUUUGCUAUACAACUAUAGACAAACAGAAUAACAUCUAAUAUUUUAAGAUGGAAAUUAAGAUCUGGUGUUAGUAGAAUGUGGUUUGCAGGAGGAAAGGAUGACAAAAAAACCAAAAACAAACCAAGAGAUAUGUUUUUGGGCAUGUUCAAUUUGUGAGGUAAUGUUAUUUCAUGAUGAAAAUGAUAAUAAAUUGU
Long non-coding RNA from Lynx canadensis (Canada lynx), 1247 nucleotides. RefSeq lists it as uncharacterized. The transcript has 5 exons. Lineage: Eukaryota; Metazoa; Chordata; Mammalia; Carnivora; Felidae. The record is from RefSeq and is a predicted model, not a curated record.